GCUGGAGUGGGGAGGCUGCUGGCUCAGCUCUUGGAGCUGGAGGGAAGAGAGCCCUACCCAGGUCUGGAACCAGCGCGGAUUCCAGGCUGAGUCACUCAAACAUCUGGAAUCACUGAGGCAACGCCCCAGACCCGAAAGCCGCUCCGCAUUCUUGCCUGCGUUCCUAUUGGAGAGGCCCCCGGGCCCCAUCUCCUCCACCCCACUGCACCCCCCUCCCAUCUGCAUCAUCCCCAUUACCGCCACCUCGUCCCUGGUUUGGUGCAAGGGCUCCAUGGCUCCGCCCCUUGGGGGCCACUGCUUCGGCCUCCCGUUGGCCAGAGGGGCAGCCCCGCCGCCCCGCACACGCAACUUGCACCCCCACCACCAAUGGCCAAAGAGCAGCAAAGCGAGGCUACAAUCCAUAUAAGGGCAAAUGAAGAAAAGGGCCAGGUGGCAUCUUGGAGGCAGGUCUAGAACCGUUCUCGCAGGGUCCACUAGGAUCCCACCGGGAAUGGAGGAGGGCGAGUCACCCUUGCCUUGGGAGCCGCGGCCUUCAUCUGGAUCAAAACCAUCUGCCCCGUUCGGUUUUGGCUAAAACCCCCUUGGGAUGGGAGGAGGGGCCUUCCCCAAGGGAGCAGCGACCGGGCAUUUCUUUGCAAAGGAACCUCAGUUUUGCAGCUUGCUUCUCCAGCUUCGAGGCGCAAAAGGCCUGGUCUGGGGGCCUCCCAGCAAGGCACACCCCCCCCAGCUCACUGAGGCUGCUGUAUUGACAGCAAGCCCCUUUGAGCUACUUGGAGACUUGAAAUAAACC
Molecule: long non-coding RNA, 790 nt
Organism: Dermochelys coriacea (leatherback sea turtle)
Lineage: Eukaryota; Metazoa; Chordata; Testudines; Dermochelyidae
Exons: 2
Source: RefSeq, a predicted model, not a curated record